UGUAGCAGAAAACGAGAAGGGUAUGUCUGCAGAGCCGGAGGCUGCAGGAAGAGGGCUGCAGGAAGAGGGCUGCACGAAGAGGGCUGCACGAAGAGGGCUGCACACUUCCGGUCGCACAUUUAGAGCAUUUUUAAGAAAAAGUAAUGUGACUGAGGGCUAUCCACCAGGUCAUGAGCAUCCACACUGGUCUACAGAUCUACAGCCUUGGUCUGGAUCCUUGGGAACAUCUACAUCUGAUGUAGGCUGAGAGCUAAAGAGAAUAUGAACAUUCAGCUGGGGUUGUCUGAGGUGUCUUCAUCCAGUCCAUGUGAAGAAGAGCAGUACUGGAUGUCCUCCUCAUCCACUGCAGUGGGAAUGACCGGAGGAUGUCUCAAACUUCAUCGCAGCAUUCAUGGAAGACUCGGACCACCUCCACCUGCAGUAUCAGACCAUGGAAAUCAUGCUCCUUAACAUCAUACAGACAUGUGGGGAGCAGGCUGGUAUCAAUCCAGAGAGGACUGACAGGCUCACAGUUCUCCAGUGUUUUAUCUCUGAUCUCUCCUGGACAGUGAAGCUCAAGAUCACUCCUUGGGAGGAACACAUCCAUGAAUGAAUAGAUGCUGAUUUGAAUCUGGCUCUAAAGAACUUCCUGUAUAAAAAGAAAAAAACUAGAAUGCAAUGCUGGUUCUUUGUAUUAUUUCCUUGGGGUCUUUGUUAUUUUAUCAUUGCUAUUUUUUUUUUUUUUUUUUUUUUACAAUACAAUGGUGCAAACAUUUUGUUUGACUCUUCCUAUAUUUAAUUCAGUCCCCUUUUGUUUAAUGUUUUCUUUUAAUGCUCUUGCAACUGUGUGUUCCUGAACCAACUCAGUGAGAAGAUCUUCACAGCAUCAUAUCGUCAUGUCAACAUGCAAGUGUCAUUUUCUUUCUGCAAAAUAGGUGAAUUUAGAAAUUACAUUUGUCUUCUUAAAUCCAAUGUGAUUCUAAAUUGAUCACCGCUCUACCAGCUGCUUCCAGUGACAAUCAUGGUUAAUCAUUAUCGGUUAUGGUUUGCUCUAUAGCUUUGUUUGGGAACUGGAGGUCAAUGAUAUCAGAGUUUACAACUUCUGAUUAUAAGACUUAGUGCAAAUAGAAUUUAAAAAUUUAUGAGGAUUCAAUCUGAAACAAUCCCGAUAAAAGUCUUUCAGAUGGCCUAAUCUGAAAGAUAUGAGUGGUGUGUAUGAUAAACAAGUGCAAUUUUUAUCAUAAAGUGGAAUUUAUGUAAUACAUGUGCUAUUACGCUACAGGAAACUGAACAGGAAGUGGUUAACUGAAGAUGCUGUCCAUGCAGUAUCCUU
Long non-coding RNA from Amphiprion ocellaris (clown anemonefish), 1312 nucleotides. RefSeq lists it as uncharacterized. Lineage: Eukaryota; Metazoa; Chordata; Actinopteri; Pomacentridae. The transcript is spliced from 4 exons. The record is from RefSeq and is a predicted model, not a curated record.